UACGUAGGGGGCAAGCGUUGUCCGGAAUCAUUGGGCGUAAAGAGCGUGUAGGCGGUCCGGUAAGUCGGCUGUGAAAGUCCAGGGCUCAACCCUGGGAUGCCGGUCGAUACUGCCGGACUAGAGUUCGGAAGAGGCGAGUGGAAUUCUCGGUGUAGCGGUGAAAUGCGCAGAUAUCGGGAGGAACACCUAUGGCGAAGGCAGCUCGCUGGGACGUUACUGACGCUGAGACGCGAAAGCGUGGGGAGCAAACAGG
Molecule: ribosomal RNA, 253 nt
Filed under: uncultured bacterium
Lineage: Bacteria
Description: partial 16S ribosomal RNA
Rfam family: Bacterial small subunit ribosomal RNA
Source: RNAcentral